RNAcentral lists this small nuclear RNA (107 nucleotides) under Pteropus vampyrus (large flying fox). The record is from RNAcentral. Lineage: Eukaryota; Metazoa; Chordata; Mammalia; Chiroptera; Pteropodidae.
GUCCUGGCAUCGGCAGCGCACAUACUAAAAUUAGAACAAUACAGAGAAGAUUUGCAUGGCUCCUGCGCAAGGAUGACGCGCAAUUUCAUGAAGCAUUCCAUACAAAA